RNAcentral lists this ribosomal RNA (422 nucleotides) under uncultured bacterium. RNAcentral's name for it is "bacterial SSU rRNA". It matches the Rfam family "Bacterial small subunit ribosomal RNA", at positions 355 to 774 of the family's 1533-position model. The record is from RNAcentral.
UAAGGAAUAUUGGUCAAUGGAGGCAACUCUGAACCAGCCAUGCCGCGUGCAGGAAGACGGCCCUCUGGGUUGUAAACUGCUUUUAUUCGGGAAUAAACCUAUCUACGUGUAGAUAGCUGAAUGUACCGUAGGAAUAAGGAUCGGCUAACUCCGUUCCAGCAGCCGCGGUAAUACGGAGGAUCCAAGCGUUAUCCGGAUUUAUUGGGUUUAAAGGGUGCGUAGGCGGCUUAUUAAGUCAGGGGUGAAAGACGGUGGCUCAACCAUCGCAGUGCCCUUGAUACUGAUGAGAUUGAAUGAACUAGAGGUAGGCGGAAUGUGACAAGUAGAGGUGAAAUGCAUAGAUAUGUCACAGAACACCGAUUGCGAAGGCAGCUUACUAUGGUUUUAUUGACGCUGAGGCACGAAAGCGUGGGGAUCAAACA